CUAAAUUGGUAAUUUUAAGGAAAUUUUACUGUUUUUGGUUAUUAUCUUGAAUAUUAUUAUAGAUAGAGAUAAACUGUAAACAGCAAUAAUGUUCAGCAAAGUAAGAUUUACAAAAAAGUCAGCAUGACCAAAAUGGUCAAUUGACCCCUUAAGGAGUUAUUGCCCUCUAUAGUUAAUUUUUAACAUUUUUCAUAAAUUUUUGUAAAUUUGUAGAAAAUAUUUUCCACUGUAAUUACUGGGCCAAGUUCAUUAUAGACAGAGAUAAUUGUAGCAACAAGAAUGUUCAGUAAAGUAAGAUCUACAAACACAUCACUAUCACCAAAACACAAUUAUGUCAUGAAUUUAUCCGUGUCCAUUAUUUAAUAUGCACAAGACCAAGGUGAGCGACACAGGCUCUUUAGAGCCUCUAGUUUA
Molecule: long non-coding RNA, 414 nt
Filed under: Mytilus galloprovincialis (Mediterranean mussel)
Lineage: Eukaryota; Metazoa; Mollusca; Bivalvia; Mytilida; Mytilidae
Source: RNAcentral